AGAGUUUGAUCCUGGCUCAGGAUGAACGCUAGCGGCAGGCCUAACACAUGCAAGUCGAACGGUAACAUUUCCAGCUUGCUGGAAGAUGACGAGUGGCGCACGGGUGCGUAACGCGUAUACAACUUACCUAUAACUAAAGGAUAGCCCCGAGAAAUUGGGAUUAAUACUUUAUAGUACUACGAAAUGGCAUCGUUUUGUAGUUAAAGAUUUAUCGGUUAUAGAUAGGUAUGCGUCCCAUUAGUUUGUUGGUGAGGUAACGGCUCACCAAGACUACGAUGGGUAGGGGGUCUGAGAGGAUUAUCCCCCACACUGGUACUGAGACACGGACCAGACUCCUACGGGAGGCAGCAGUGAGGAAUAUUGGUCAAUGGAGGAAACUCUGAACCAGCCAUGCCGCGUGCAGGAAGAAUGCCCUAUGGGUUGUAAACUGCUUUUAUAUAGGAAGAAACCCCUGAACGUGUUCGG
This 465-nucleotide ribosomal RNA is filed under the name uncultured Bacteroidota bacterium. Its description in RNAcentral is "bacterial SSU rRNA". It matches the Rfam family "Bacterial small subunit ribosomal RNA", at positions 8 to 467 of the family's 1533-position model. The record is from RNAcentral. Lineage: Bacteria; Pseudomonadati; Bacteroidota.